GAUCCUGGCUCAGGAUGAACGCUAGCUACAGGCUUAACACGUGCAAGUCGAGGGGCAGCAUGACCUAGCAAUAGGUCGAUGGCGACCGGCGCACGGGUGAGUAACACGUAUCCAACCUACCGGUUAUUCCGGGAUAGCCUUUCGAAAGAAAGAUUAAUACCGGAUAGUAUAACGAGAAGGCAUCUUUUUGUUAUUAAAGAAUUUCGAUAACCGAUGGGGAUGCGUUCCAUUAGUUUGUUGGCGGGGUAACGCCCACAAGACA
This 262-nucleotide ribosomal RNA is filed under the name uncultured bacterium. Its description in RNAcentral is "partial 16S ribosomal RNA". It matches the Rfam family "Bacterial small subunit ribosomal RNA", at positions 15 to 275 of the family's 1533-position model. The record is from RNAcentral.